RNAcentral lists this unclassified non-coding RNA (326 nucleotides) under uncultured fungus. Its description in RNAcentral is "partial contains 5.8S ribosomal RNA and internal transcribed spacer 2". The stretch from base 1 to 133 matches the Rfam family "5.8S ribosomal RNA", at positions 22 to 154 of the family's 154-position model. The record is from RNAcentral. Lineage: Eukaryota; Fungi.
UGGUUCUGGCAUCGAUGAAGAACGCAGCGAAAUGCGAUAAGUAAUGUGAAUUGCAGAAUUCAGUGAAUCAUCGAAUCUUUGAACGCACAUUGCGCCCUCUGGUAUUCCGGAGGGCAUGCCUGUUCGAGCGUCAUUUCAACCCUCAAGCCUGGCUUGGUGUUGGGGCACUGCUUUUUCCGAAAAGCAGGCCCUGAAAUAUAGUGGCGAGCUCGCCAGGACUCCGAGCGUAGUAGUUAAACCCUCGCUUUGGAAGGCCUGGCGGUGCCCUGCCGUUAAACCCCAACUCUUGAAAAUUUGACCUCGGAUCAGGUAGGAAUACCCGCUGA